UACGGAGGGGACUAGCGUUGUUCGGAAUUACUGGGCGUAAAGCGCGCGUAGGCGGAUUUGUAAGUCAGGGGUGAAAUCCCGAGGCUCAACCUCGGAACUGCCUUUGAUACUGCAAAUCUCGAGUCCGGAAGAGGUGAGUGGAAUUCCUAGUGUAGAGGUGAAAUUCGUAGAUAUUAGGAAGAACACCAGUGGCGAAGGCGGCUCACUGGUCCGGUACUGACGCUGAGGUGCGAAAGCGUGGGGAGCAAACAGG
This 253-nucleotide ribosomal RNA is filed under the name uncultured bacterium. RNAcentral's name for it is "partial 16S ribosomal RNA". It matches the Rfam family "Bacterial small subunit ribosomal RNA", at positions 524 to 776 of the family's 1533-position model. The record is from RNAcentral.